UAAAACUUAAACACUAGGGCACUACGAAAGACCUUUAAAACCCAAAGAACUUGGCGGCCCUUUAUACCCCAUCAGGGGAGCCUGUCCUAGAACUGAUAUUCCACAACUAACCCCACUUGUCCUCGCCCCUCAGCCUGUAUACCGCCGUCGCCAGCCCACCUAAAAAAGUCAGUAUGCCCAAUAGAAACCUCUAGAACGUCAGGUCAAGGUGCAGUCCAUGGACAAGAAGAGAUGGGCUACAGUAUCCACCAAGCUCGGAAUCCCGAAUGAAAAAAAGAAAAAGAAGGACUUGAAAGUAAUGGGACAAAGAACCCCCAUGAAUAGAGCAAUAAAGCGUGCACACACCGCCCGUCAGAG
This 357-nucleotide ribosomal RNA is filed under the name Terebratulina retusa. RNAcentral's name for it is "partial 12S ribosomal RNA". Lineage: Eukaryota; Metazoa; Brachiopoda; Rhynchonellata; Terebratulida; Cancellothyrididae. The record is from RNAcentral.